CGGGCGGGGCGGGGGCACGGGGGGGCACAAGCGGUGGAGCAUGUGGUUUAAUUCGAUGCAACGCGAAGAACCUUACCUGGCCUUGACAUACUAGAAACUUUCCAGAGAUGGAUUGGUGCCUUCGGGAAUCUAGAUACAGGUGCUGCAUGGCUGUCGUCAGCUCGUGUCGUGAGAUGUUGGGUUAAGUCCCGCAACGAGCGCAACCCUUUUCCUUACUUGCCAGCAUUUCGGAUGGGAACUUUAAGGAUACUGCCAGUGACAAACUGGAGGAAGGCGGGGACGACGUCAAGUCAUCAUGGCCCUUACGGCCAGGGCUACACACGUGCUACAAUGGUCGGUACAAAGGGUUGCUACCUAGCGAUAGGAUGCUAAUCUCAAAAAGCCGAUCGUAGUCCGGAUUGGAGUCUGCAACUCG
RNAcentral lists this ribosomal RNA (415 nucleotides) under Acinetobacter sp. B7. RNAcentral describes it as "bacterial SSU rRNA". It matches the Rfam family "Bacterial small subunit ribosomal RNA", at positions 912 to 1314 of the family's 1533-position model. The record is from RNAcentral. Lineage: Bacteria; Pseudomonadati; Pseudomonadota; Gammaproteobacteria; Moraxellales; Moraxellaceae.